This 475-nucleotide ribosomal RNA is filed under the name uncultured eukaryote. RNAcentral's name for it is "bacterial SSU rRNA". It matches the Rfam family "Eukaryotic small subunit ribosomal RNA", at positions 592 to 1042 of the family's 1831-position model. The record is from RNAcentral.
CAAUAGCGUAUAUUAAAGUUGUUGCAGUUAAAAAGCUCGUAGUUGGAUUUCUGGCCGAGUGUCCCUAGGCCAGCAUGACGUUUGGUCCUAGGCGCUCUGCCAUCCUUCUGUCAACCUUCGCCUUCUUCAUUGGGGGCGCUGGGGCUCAGAUAUUUUACCUUGAGAAAAUUAGAGUGUUUCAGGCAGGCUUUCGCCGGAAUACAUUAGCAUGGAAUAAUGGAAAAGGACUUCAACCUCUUCUGUUGGUCUGAGAGGCUGUAGUAAUGAUUAAUAGGGAUAGUUGGGGGCAUUAGUACUUAACUGUCAGAGGUGAAAGUCUUCCGACUUGUUUAAGUAAACGUAACCUUAACUUAGUCGGAAACGGAACGACUUUAGUUUCCGAACCGGAAAGGUAGUUUUUCGUUUACUUAAAUUUAACUAACGAAAACGGAAAAACGGUUAAAAGGGGGUUAAGGGUACUAAACGAAAACGGAAC